UAGAAAGAUGCUUCCAGUAUCUUUCAUUUUUCACUUUCCUCUUCGUUUCUUCUCUGUCUUUCCGUUUCUCUCUAUUUCUCCGUCUGUCUUUUGGUUUCGAUUCCAAUCGUCUUGUUGUUUUCCACGAACGAAUUGCUUUGGUUUAGGUGUGUUUGUUCGUGCGUUGCUUUAUUUUCUGUUUGGUUAGGAAGAAUCGCAACGUUCAGACAACCCAUGGAUGAUAUUUCGCUCAAACUCGCAGAUCCAUGUUCGAUCCUCCAGUUUCAGAGCAAAACAUUGAUCCAGUUCCCAGAUCCACCAGAAGCAAAGGAUAUCCGGUUUUUCGGGUUUCUUGUUAAGUUUUUAGUAAGCUGAUAUAUACAGGAAUUGGAUUUUAGAGGGAGCUGAAAAGACAGAGAGAGUGAGAGGCAAGGUUUUUCACAACUGCAACUCUGCUACACUGCAGAGAGCAACAUUUCAUUCAUAUUCAUUCCUUUCUUUUACAUCAGACAUCAUAACCAUUCAAUUACAUGAGCCAAUGUGAUUUUGACACAUGGCAGAACAAAGCAUAUGAGCCAUUGAAAAAGAGUCCUGAUCUAAGACCAUACACUUGGCAUAUGAGCACAAGUUAUCACAUCAUAAAACAGCUACUCAAUAGAACAAAGAUAAAAUAGAUAAGUAAAUCAUUUACUAACUUGAAAUUAGUAAGCAAUUUACUUUUCAACAUUUCUGACAUUUCUUUGCACCCUGCGAAGGCCUCUGUGUUUAAGCUGAAGUAACUAGAGUUGAGAAAGAACAAUUGGAGCUUAGAGUCUUUGCAUAUUUGAAAGGCUUUGUACUCAAUUGUAGGGCAUUGCAUGCAACGGACCCUGAUAGCAAUUUUGGGUGAGUUUUGAUUCCUGACACACUCCGGUUUAGAACGAGGCAUGCUGGCCAUCAUGAGGGU
Molecule: non-coding RNA, 925 nt
Organism: Malus domestica (apple)
Lineage: Eukaryota; Viridiplantae; Streptophyta; Magnoliopsida; Rosales; Rosaceae
Source: RefSeq, a predicted model, not a curated record